Non-coding RNA from Caenorhabditis elegans, 149 nucleotides. Lineage: Eukaryota; Metazoa; Nematoda; Chromadorea; Rhabditida; Rhabditidae. The record is from Ensembl.
AACACACGGAGGAGGAGGACGAAAGAGGAGACGAAGAAGAGGGACGGUGUUGGUGGUGGUGGUGUUAAAAACGAUGAUUGGAUGGAUGCCAGAUGUGUCUCCUUCUUCUUCUUUGUCCGUGUGUGUGUGUGAAUAGAAUCAAAGCGGAU